UACAAUUUAUUUAAUAUGUAUUAACACUAUCAACUGCGACAGGUGAACUUCAGAGUAAUUUUUUGUUUUGUUUCUUUUCCCUCAGUCGCAGCCCAGCAAGACAAAAAUCCUGAUGGAAGCUUUGUGUGGAAGUAUGCAAGAUGGUACGUCCUUCCUCAGACUUGCUUGCAGAUGUUGAGUGAAAUCACAUGGCCACGAUGAAAGAUGACACUCAUCAGGCUGGCGUGCAGCUGGAAGCACAGUGUCAUUACCUGGCCAUGUGGAGGACUGCAGUCAGCAGAUGCUGUGCAGGAAGUGGUGGCUUCAAAAUGCAUACCAGGGGCCUUAGAAAUCACAUGUAUGCAUUUCAAGUGGGACUCUGCCCUCCAUAGAUUUUGUUAUAAGGUAUU
Long non-coding RNA from Melanotaenia boesemani (Boeseman's rainbowfish), 389 nucleotides. RefSeq lists it as uncharacterized. The record is from RefSeq and is a predicted model, not a curated record. The transcript has 3 exons. NCBI's taxonomy places the organism in Eukaryota, Metazoa, Chordata, Actinopteri, Atheriniformes, Melanotaeniidae.